CUGGUUCCGGUUCACGUCCCACGCGCACCAGCGCGGUACGGGCGACCCGGCGACU
Molecule: non-coding RNA, 55 nt
Filed under: unclassified sequences
Description: L31-Actinobacteria ribosomal protein leader
Rfam family: L31-Actinobacteria ribosomal protein leader
Source: RNAcentral